This 305-nucleotide ribosomal RNA is filed under the name uncultured bacterium. RNAcentral describes it as "partial 16S ribosomal RNA". It matches the Rfam family "Bacterial small subunit ribosomal RNA", at positions 505 to 807 of the family's 1533-position model. The record is from RNAcentral.
ACAGCAGCAGCCGCGGGAAUACGUAGGGUGCAAGCGUUAAUCGGAAUUACUGGGCGUAAAGCGUGCGCAGGCGGUUAUAUAAGACAGAUGUGAAAUCCCCGGGCUCAACCUGGGAACUGCAUUUGUGACUGUAUAGCUAGAGUACGGCAGAGGGGGAUGGAAUUCCGCGUGUAGCAGUGAAAUGCGUAGAUAUGCGGAGGAACACCGAUGGCGAAGGCAAUCCCCUGGGCCUGUACUGACGCUCAUGCACGAAAGCGUGGGGAGCAAACAGGAUUAGAUACCCGCGUAGUCCCUGUCUCUUAUAC